Molecule: transfer RNA, 64 nt
Filed under: Bradyrhizobium erythrophlei
Lineage: Bacteria; Pseudomonadati; Pseudomonadota; Alphaproteobacteria; Hyphomicrobiales; Nitrobacteraceae
Description: tRNA_Gly_TCC
Rfam family: tRNA
About the family: Transfer RNA (tRNA) molecules are approximately 80 nucleotides in length. Their secondary structure includes four short double-helical elements and three loops (D, anti-codon, and T loops).
Source: RNAcentral
GCGGUGUGAGGCUUGUCAGCAGCCUUCCAAGCUGAAUACGAGGGUUCGAUUCCCUUCACCCGCU